CAUAAACAUGCAAGUCGAGCGAACAGAUGAGAAGCUUGCUUCUCUGAUGUUAGCGGCGGACGGGUGAGUAACACGUGGGUAACCUACCUAUAAGACUGGGAUAACUCCGGGAAACCGGGGCUAAUACCGGAUAAUAUUUUGAACCGCAUGGUUCAAUAGUGAAAGACGGUUUCGGCUGUCACUUAUAGAUGGACCCGCGCCGUAUUAGCUAGUUGGUAAGGUAAUGGCUUACCAAGGCGACGAUACGUAGCCGACCUGAGAGGGUGAUCGGCCACACUGGAACUGAGACACGGUCCAGACUCCUACGGGAGGCAGCAGUAGGGAAUCUUCCGCAAUGGGCGAAAGCCUGACGGAGCAACGCCGCGUGAGUGAUGAAGGUCUUCGGAUCGUAAAACUCUGUUGUUAGGGAAGAACAAAUUUGUUAGUAACUGAACAAGUCUUGACGGUACCUAACCAGAAAGCCACGGCUAACUACGUGCCAGCAGCCGCGGUAAUACGUAGGUGGCAAGCGUUAUCCGGGAAUUAUUGGGCGUAAAGCGCGCGUAGGCGGUUUCUUAAGUCUGAUGUGAAAGCCCACGGCUCAACCGUGGAGGGUCAUUGGAAACUGGGAAACUUGAGUGCAGAAGAGGAGAGUGGAAUUCCAUGUGUAGCGGUGAAAUGCGCAGAGAUAUGGAGGAACACCAGUGGCGAAGGCGGCUCU
Molecule: ribosomal RNA, 700 nt
Filed under: Mammaliicoccus sciuri
Lineage: Bacteria; Bacillati; Bacillota; Bacilli; Caryophanales; Staphylococcaceae
Description: bacterial SSU rRNA
Rfam family: Bacterial small subunit ribosomal RNA
Source: RNAcentral